RNAcentral lists this ribosomal RNA (255 nucleotides) under Enterobacter sp. ENT02. RNAcentral describes it as "partial 23S ribosomal RNA". It matches the Rfam family "Bacterial large subunit ribosomal RNA", at positions 228 to 521 of the family's 2925-position model. Lineage: Bacteria; Pseudomonadati; Pseudomonadota; Gammaproteobacteria; Enterobacterales; Enterobacteriaceae. The record is from RNAcentral.
ACCGAGAUUCCCCCAGUAGCGGCGAGCGAACGGGGAGCAGCCCAGAGUCUGAAUCAGCUUGUGUGUUAGUGGAAGCGUCUGGAAAGUCGCACGGUACAGGGUGAUAGUCCCGUACACGAAAGCACACUUGCUGUGAACUCGAAGAGUAGGGCGGGACACGUGGUAUCCUGUCUGAAUAUGGGGGGACCAUCCUCCAAGGCUAAAUACUCCUGACUGACCGAUAGUGAACCAGUACCGUGAGGGAAAGGCGAAAAG